Molecule: ribosomal RNA, 2590 nt
Filed under: Naegleria clarki
Lineage: Eukaryota; Heterolobosea; Eutetramitea; Acrasida; Naegleriidae
Description: SSU rRNA
Rfam family: Eukaryotic small subunit ribosomal RNA
Source: RNAcentral
UACUAUAUGCUUGUCUCAAAGCCUAAGCCAUGCAAAUCUAAGAUCAAUCAUAUGCGGUUUCGGCCGUGUAUAAUGAUAGUCUGUGGAAGGCUCAUUAUAACAGUUAUACUCCUAGCCACUGGAAAGUUUACAAGGAUACCACCGUUAACUGCAGCGAUAAUACUUGUUCCCUUCGGGGUGGUAAUAGUAUUUGUGCUGAAGCCUAGCUAUUGUAACCUAGUUUUUCGGGUGUGGCAACAUAUUCGGGGGAUUAGGAAUCGACCGCUAGCAGGUGCCUUCGGGCGCGGGAAAGUGAAUUAACAAGGUUUUCAUAAGGCCUUUCAGGUUUGCUUUUUCUAGUGGCCAGGCAGAGGAGUUUCUUACCUAUCAGCUCGUUGUUUGUUUAAAGGACAAACCAGGCUUUGACGGGUACGGGGAAUCAGUGUUCGAUUCCGGAGAGGGAGCCUGAGAAAUCGCUACCACAUCUAAGGACGGCAGCAGGCGCGCAAAUUACCCAAUCUCAAUACGAGGAGGUAGUGACAAGCUAUAGUGACUCCACACCAUUUGGUGGGGAGGUAUUGUCUUUUGACGAUUUUCCAUGAUUUGGGUGUAGAUAACCCUUAGAGUAGCCAUUGGAGGAAAAGUCUGGUGAACCUUUUGUUUUUGAUGAAUUGAAAAAGCUUGAUAUUUGCAAUCACGAAUUUGGCGAAUGCUUGAUUGGUGCUGCAAAUAAAACAAAAGCAGGCUUUAAGGUUCGUUUUUUAAACAAACAGGGCUCCGAUUCGUACGUGCAUCACGUAUCUGCAUUUGCUAAUUCUACUGCUGAGAAUUGUAUUCACAGUGUAGAAAUGCUAGAAACGGUUUCUAGUAGCAAAAAGGAUAAUGAAGCAAGAACGAUUUCUCACCUUUGUGGUAAUGGAGGCUGUGCAAGGCCAGGUCAUUUGAGGAUUGAGAAGAAAUCAGUAAACGAUGAACGUACUCACUGUCAUUUUUUACUGAGGAGGUCUCAAUCUAUUAACCAAUCAGAAAUGAUUCGGUUAGCCUGUCCGCAUACUCCUAAAUGUUUUGUAAACAUUUACAAAAUAAAUACACCAUACUACUGAUCAAUUGCAUUUGUUUUAAACAGGAGGGUUCAGAGACUAGAUGGUCGUUGGCUAGGUUAUGCCUAGCUUAAGAUAUAGUCCAAACCCACUCGAUGAUAAAGAGUGUGUCAAUUGCAAGGUGUUAAUCACACCCCAGAAUUGAUGUUCGGUAGUCUUGGCCAGCACCCGCGGUAAUUCCAGCUCCAAGAGCGUAUAUUAAUACUGCUGUAGUUAAAACGCCCGUAGUAUACCUAAGAGUGGGUGUGUAGUAAUUAGUUUUAUCAGAGGACGGUUGGCGAGAGUUUAUCUCUCUUGUUUGCCUACUUUUGGUAGACUUCAGUCGGGCUGGAUCUUUGGUCCUUGUCUGACAGUUGCUACGUACUUACUUACCACGGUUCAUCCGUGAGGCCCUUGGCUUGCAACUGUAAAUAAAUCGUUGUGCUUAAAGCGGGCUAUGAUACUCUGCCAGAGCGAUUUAGCAUGGGACUGCAGAGUAGCUGUAUUUGAGUGAAGGUCGCACCUCGGUGUGGCUGGAGCUUGGUACAGCGCUUGUAAUGGAGCUCAGGGUGAGGCCCCGGGUACCAUGAGGCUAGAGGUGAAAUUCUGAGACCCUCAUGUGACCAACUAAGGCGAAAGCUGUCGUGGGCCACCACAAGCUCGUCUAUCAGGGACGAAAGUUGGGGGAUCGAAGACGAUUAGAUACCGUCGUAGUCCCAACUAUAAACGAUACCAACCGAGUAUUUGGGAAGACACUAUCCCAGCGAUCUUCUCAGAACUCAAGGGAAACCUUAAGUCUUUGGGUUCUGGGGGGAGUAUAGUCGCAAGACCGAAACUUAAAGGAAUUGACGGAAAGGCACCACCAGGAGUGGAGUCUGCGGCUUAAUUCGACUCAACACGGGGAAACUCACCAGGUCAGGACACAAGUUUGAUUGACAGGUUAAUAGCCCUUUCUUGAUUGUGCGGUGGGUAGUGCAUGGCCGUUUCCAGUUCGUGGAGUGAUCUGUCUUGUUAACUCAGAUAACGAACGAGACCUAAGCCUUUAACUAGCCGUAGGCCUUUUCCUUCGGGGAAGGGUUAGUUUGUCGGAACAGGUUUCGGCCUGUUCCAAAACCUACGAGACUUUUGUCAGCUUCUUAAAGGGACUUCAUUCGUAAACUAGGAUGAGGAAGAUUUAGGCCAUAACAGGUCUGUGAUGCUCUUAGAUGUCCUGGGCUGCACGCGUACUACAAUAACGGUACCAGCGAGCGCUAUGGUUUUAUAACCCCUUAUCCUAAUAGGAUUGGGAAAACUUUUCAAACACCGUUAUGACAGGGAUCGAGGAUUGGAACAUCCUCGUGAACGAGGAAUUACUAGUAAGCGUGGUUCAUCAUACCACAUUGAUUACGUCCCUGCCUUUUGUACACACCGCCCGUCGCUCCUACCGAUGGGACGAGGAGAUGAACCUGGCGGACCGAACCGCAAGGUAAGGGAAACCAGUUAAAUCUCUUCGUCUGUAGGAAGGAAAAGUCGUAACAAGGUCUUCGUAGGUG